AAUUUAAAGUCUAAACUGCCCACUGAUGAAAAUUAAAGGGCUGCAGUAUAUUGACUGUACAAAGGUAGCAUAAUCAUUAGUCUUUUAAUUGAAGACUUGUAUGAAAGAUUUAAUGAAAUAUAAACUGUCUCUUAUUUAAAAAUAGAAUUUAAUUAUUUAGUUAAAAAGCUAAAAUAAAUUUAAAAGACGAGAAGACCCUAUAGAGUUUUAUAAUUAAAUUAUUUAAGAUUUUUUAUAUAAUUUAUAAUUAAAAAUAGUUUAAUUAUUAUAUUGGGGUGAUAAAAAAAUUAAAAUAACUUUUUUUUUAUAAUAACAUAAAUAAGUGAAAAAUUGAUCCAUUAAUAAUGAUUAAAAGAAAAAAUUACCUUAGGGAUAACAGCGUAAUUUUUUUUUUUAGUACAAAUAAAAAAAAAAAAUUGCGACCUCGAUGUUGGAUUAAAAUAAAAUUUAAAUGCAAAAGUUUAAAAUUUUGAUCUGUUCGAUCAUUAAAAUCUUACAUG
RNAcentral lists this ribosomal RNA (500 nucleotides) under Euploea core. RNAcentral describes it as "partial 16S ribosomal RNA". Lineage: Eukaryota; Metazoa; Arthropoda; Insecta; Lepidoptera; Nymphalidae. The record is from RNAcentral.